GAUGAACGCUGGCGGCGUGCCUAACACAUGCAAGUCGAACGAAGCACUUGAAUGGAAUUCUUCGGAAGGAAGCUUAAGUGACUGAGUGGCGGACGGGUGAGUAACGCGUGGGUAACCUGCCUCAUACAGGGGGAUAACAGUUAGAAAUGGCUGCUAAUACCGCAUAAGCACACAGCGCUGCAUGGCGCAGUGUGAAAAACUCCGGUGGUAUGAGAUGGACCCGCGUCUGAUUAGCUAGUUGGUGGGGUAACGGCCUACCAAGGCGACGAUCAGUAGCCGACCUGAGAGGGUGACCGGCCACAUUGGGACUGAGACACGGCCCAA
RNAcentral lists this ribosomal RNA (324 nucleotides) under uncultured bacterium. Its description in RNAcentral is "bacterial SSU rRNA". It matches the Rfam family "Bacterial small subunit ribosomal RNA", at positions 28 to 334 of the family's 1533-position model. The record is from RNAcentral.